UACGUAGGGUGCGAGCGUUGUCCGGAAUUAUUGGGCGUAAAGGGCUCGUAGGCGGUUUGUCGCGUCGGGAGUGAAAUCCACUGGCUUAACUGGUGGCUUGCUUUCGAUACGGGCAGACUGGAGGUAUGCAGGGGAGAACGGAAUUCCUGGUGUAGCGGUGAAAUGCGCAGAUAUCAGGAGGAACACCGGUGGCGAAGGCGGGUCUCUGGGCCGAUAUUGACGCUGAGGAGCGAAAGCGUGGGGAGCAAACAGG
This 253-nucleotide ribosomal RNA is filed under the name uncultured bacterium. RNAcentral's name for it is "partial 16S ribosomal RNA". It matches the Rfam family "Bacterial small subunit ribosomal RNA", at positions 524 to 776 of the family's 1533-position model. The record is from RNAcentral.